RNAcentral lists this transfer RNA (73 nucleotides) under Bos taurus (domestic cattle). It matches the Rfam family "tRNA". From Rfam's summary of the family: Transfer RNA (tRNA) molecules are approximately 80 nucleotides in length. Lineage: Eukaryota; Metazoa; Chordata; Mammalia; Artiodactyla; Bovidae. The record is from Rfam by way of RNAcentral. RNAcentral also lists the same sequence under 4 other names.
UCCCUGGUGGUCCAGUGGCUAAGACUCUGUGCCCCUAACUCAGGGGAUCUGGGUUCAAUCCCUGGUCAGGAAG